CCAAUCCUGACUCGCAAGAGUCUUCAACCCCAUGUGCACUUAUUAUUGUUUCUGGGUGUCCUUCUAAAGGCGCCCAACCUUAUAAACCUUACUAUCAGUCUGAAAUUAUUUUAAAUAAUAAAAAA
RNAcentral lists this unclassified non-coding RNA (125 nucleotides) under uncultured fungus. RNAcentral's name for it is "sequence contains ITS1". Lineage: Eukaryota; Fungi. The record is from RNAcentral.